UGGUACCGUCAGGCACCCGGAGGCAGCCUGGAGUGGGUGUCCCUUAUCAGCUCCCCCACGGGCAGUACAGAGGAGUACGGGGCAGCAGUGAAUGGUCGGGCCAAGAUUUCCCAGGACAUUUCUCGGGACAAUUCCCGGUCCGAAGUUCAUUUCUCUUUGCGGUCCCUGCAAGUUCAGGACUCUGCCCGCUACUUCUGUGCUAUCCCACGGCGACAGCGAAUGCAGCUGAGCUUCAACACAAACCUUCCAGG
Non-coding RNA from Pseudopodoces humilis (Tibetan ground-tit), 251 nucleotides. The record is from the annotation of a RefSeq genome assembly. Lineage: Eukaryota; Metazoa; Chordata; Aves; Passeriformes; Paridae.